RNAcentral lists this ribosomal RNA (497 nucleotides) under uncultured bacterium. Its description in RNAcentral is "partial 16S ribosomal RNA". It matches the Rfam family "Bacterial small subunit ribosomal RNA", at positions 36 to 507 of the family's 1533-position model. The record is from RNAcentral.
UCUUCCCUCUUUCCUCGUGCCUAAUACAUGCAAGUCGAGCGAACAGACGAGGAGCUUGCUCCUCUGACGUUAGCGGCGGACGGGUGAGUAACACGUGGAUAACCUACCUAUAAGACUGGGAUAACUUCGGGAAACCGGAGCUAAUACCGGAUAAUAUAUUGAACCGCAUGGUUCAAUAGUGAAAGACGGUUUUGCUGUCACUUAUAGAUGGAUCCGCGCCGCAUUAGCUAGUUGGUAAGGUAACGGCUUACCAAGGCAACGAUGCGUAGCCGACCUGAGAGGGUGAUCGGCCACACUGGAACUGAGACACGGUCCAGACUCCUACGGGAGGCAGCAGUAGGGAAUCUUCCGCAAUGGGCGAAAGCUUGACGGAGCAACGCCGCGUGAGUGAUGAAGGUCUUCGGAUCGUAAAACUCUGUUAUUAGGGAAGAACAAAUGUGUAAGUAACUAUGCACGUCUUGACGGUACCUAAUCAGAAAGCCACGGCUAACUACGUG